UUGAAAGGGAAACGAUUGAAGUCAGUCGUACCGACGAGAAAUCAACUUAUCGUGUGCGAACUAGUGGGCGUGCGUGAGUUUCGGCCUCGCUGUUUGCAUGUUUGUGCGUUUUGGGUGUACUUUUUCGUAUGGUAGGCCAACAUCAGUUUCGAUUACUAUAAAAUGACCGGCGGAAUGUAGCUUCGAUUUCGGUUGAAGUGUUAUAGCCUCUGGUAGAUGUGGUGAUUGGGACUGAGGAUUGCAACGAAUAUCCUUUGGGCUAUCCGUCUGAUCUCUGAAAGUUGCUCAGGUGCCGAAAGCGUGCUUACGGUUAUCUAAGUUGACGGUCAAUAGGUUAGAACGUGAUUACAUUCGUUAAGGAUGUUGACGUA
RNAcentral lists this ribosomal RNA (371 nucleotides) under uncultured Glomeromycotina. RNAcentral describes it as "LSU rRNA". The record is from RNAcentral. Lineage: Eukaryota; Fungi; Glomeromycota.